This 1321-nucleotide ribosomal RNA is filed under the name Alcaligenes sp. RNAcentral's name for it is "bacterial SSU rRNA". It matches the Rfam family "Bacterial small subunit ribosomal RNA", at positions 27 to 1342 of the family's 1533-position model. Lineage: Bacteria; Pseudomonadati; Pseudomonadota; Betaproteobacteria; Burkholderiales; Alcaligenaceae. The record is from RNAcentral.
GAUCGAACGCUGGCGGGAUGCUUUACACAUGCAAGUCGAACGGCAGCGCGAGAGAGCUUGCUCUCUUGGCGGCGAGUGGCGGACGGGUGAGUAAUAUAUCGGAACGUGCCCAGUAGCGGGGGAUAACUACUCGAAAGAGUGGCUAAUACCGCAUACGCCCUACGGGGGAAAGGGGGGGAUCGCAAGACCUCUCACUAUUGGAGCGGCCGAUAUCGGAUUAGCUAGUUGGUGGGGUAAAGGCUCACCAAGGCAACGAUCCGUAGCUGGUUUGAGAGGACGACCAGCCACACUUGAACUGAGAAAUGGCCCAGACUCCUACGGGAGGCAGCAGUGGGGAAUUUUGGACAAUUGGGGAAACCCUGAUCCAGCCAUCCCGCGUGUAUGAUGAAGGCCUUCGGGUUGUAAAGUACUUUUGGCAGAGAAGAAAAGGUAUCCCCUAAUACGGGAUACUGCUGACGGUAUCUGCAGAAUAAGCACCGGCUAACUACGUGCCAGCAGCCGCGGUAAUACGUAGGGUGCAAGCGUUAAUCGGAAUUACUGGGCGUAAAGCGUGUGUAGGCGGUUCGGAAAGAAAGAUGUGAAAUCCCAGGGCUCAACCUUGGAACUGCAUUUUUAACUGCCGAGCUAGAGUAUGUCAGAGGGGGGUAGAAUUCCACGUGUAGCAGUGAAAUGCGUAGAUAUGUGGAGGAAUACCGAUGGCGAAAGGCAGCCCCCUGGGAUAAUACUGACGCUCAGACACGAAAGCGUGGGGAGCAAACAGGAUUAGAUACCCUGGUAGUCCACGCCCUAAACGAUGUCAACUAGCUGUUGGGGCCGUUAGGCCUUAGUAGCGCAGCUAACGCGUGAAGUUGACCGCCUGGGGAGUACGGUCGCAAGAUUAAAACUCAAAGGAAUUGACGGGGACCCGCACAAGCGGUGGAUGAUGUGGAUUAAUUCGAUGCAACGCGAAAAACCUUACCUACCCUUGACAUGUCUGGAAAGCCGAAGAGAUUUGGCCGUGCUCGCAAGAGAACCGGAACACAGGUGCUGCAUGGCUGUCGUCAGCUCGUGUCGUGAGAUGUUGGGUUAAGUCCCGCAACGAGCGCAACCCUUGUCAUUAGUUGCUACGCAAGAGCACUCUAAUGAGACUGCCGGUGACAAACCGGAGGAAGGUGGGGAUGACGUCAAGUCCUCAUGGCCCUUAUGGGUAGGGCUUCACACGUCAUACAAUGGUCGGGACAGAGGGUCGCCAACCCGCGAGGGGGAGCCAAUCUCAGAAACCCGAUCGUAGUCCGGAUCGCAGUCUGCAACUCGACUGCGUGAAGUCGGAAUCGCUAGUAAU